AAAAUCCGAAAAUUAAAUUCAUAAAUGGUAAAAUCCUUUACGUACACACUUGUAUAAAAUUUGAAAAAUAAUAUUUUCUAAUUAUUGAUUGAAUGUAUUCAAACAAUUAAUCACAAGUAACUAUCUAAAUUGGUGAUAUUUGGCAACAGUGAGUAGAUCUGGUUUAUUUAUGUAUGUUUAUCUUAGACAAGGAAAAAAGAGAGGACGGGUAACACUCAUUUAAAACACACGUUCCAAAAGUGAAGCCAGUUUUUGGUUUGUUUGUCACCAGAAACAUGGCGGUCACGUCAAAAAUAACAAUGGGUUGCCAGUGGUGGGUGUUCGUUGAAGGUUAAAAUUUCAUAAAAAAUAAAGUAAAUCAUCAUCUAAAAUUCGUAAUAAAAACAUAUGUAUGUAUUGAAACAUAUGUACGUAAUAUGAGCAACUUAAUAAAACAUUUACCGUACACAAAUUCUUCAUUUUAAAUACAUUUCAUGUUUUUAUUUUAAAUACUCAAUGCAUAACAAUACCCCAAAGAUACGUCGAUGAUCAAAAUCUCUGGUGUCAGUUUGGCUUCACUUUUGGUCAUAGGAUUACUCGUCCUCUCUCUUUCCUUGUCUAAAGUCCACUUUACAUCAACAAUAAAUUGGACAAGAAAUUGACCAAGUUAUUCAAGGCCAAAUUUGACGUGUAAAAGCACACUUUGACAUCUAAGUUUGUUCGUUAUAAACUUCACGUGAAGAAAUUGACGAAAAAGAAAAUUGUUCUAUUUUUUCAUUUUAUUCGGCGUGAAUUCAGUGUCACCAACCUGUGUCCAUUUGGCGGGAAGUGGAAGUAGAGCUUUUUGUUUAUUAUUAUUUGUUGAGGUUGAGUCUUUCAUGUUCAUGACAACCUAAAAAUUUUGAUUGGAAAAUGCAUAUAAGAUAAGGGGGUGGAAAAAUGGAAAUUAGUGGCUUUUUUUGCAGUUCUGUCUGUUAGUUUUGCGUUUUGCUCUGGCUGGGUCUCUUUUGUUUAAACAAUUAUAAUCAGCUGAAAGUGGUCUACAAAACAACCAGGAAGGAAACGUAUUAUAGCCUUGUUGUGGCUAUGAAAGGCAAAAGAAAGAUACACCUAUAAAAAGUGUAUUGACUAGUUGGAAGAAACUCCACAUUGUCGAUGCAUAAUAAGAUAUUACUUUAUAAACAAAUAUCAAGACCUAGGAAUGGAACCUGGAUAAUAUAGUCAUCAAGAAGAUAGCAGGAAGUCAUGAGCAACAACUUCAUAAGUAUGAGAAUAUUGAGGAAAUCCAGCUCCUCAUAUCUACUACUGGACAAACUAGAAGAUUGAAGAGGACAAAGCCUUUUGAACUAGUUUGAGUGAUAAGUGAUAGUGAAAAGCAGAGCGUAGUGCUUGUGUGCCUGUGUAUGUUAGAAUAGUGCACGAUCUUGUUAGAUUAGAUAAGAGACGCUAUGGGGUAAGCUCUUCAUUUUAAGGAACAGUAGUAAUUUAGGUUAAAUUAAAAUUGCUCAUUGGUCAGUUAUGACCAGAUUGUAAUUCUCUGAUGUUUGGCAAAAAGGGCUUAAGUCAGAAUUGCACAUCAAUAAUGUUUUGAUGAUUUCUGGACCAUAAAAAAAGUGUUGCAGACUUAAACUGUAUGUACCAAUAAAAAGAGCCGAUUUUUCUGGUCCAGAAAUCAUCUAAACAUUAUCGAUGUGCAAUUCUGACUUAAGCCCUUUUUCCCAAACAUCAGAGAAUUGCAAUGUACAAUUCAAUACAAACGAAUCAUCAUCGUAGUGAUGAUUAUGGAAAAAAAUAUAUGACAAGAUUUUGUGCAAUAAAAAUGUUUAUAUUUA
Long non-coding RNA from Diabrotica virgifera virgifera (western corn rootworm), 1811 nucleotides. RefSeq lists it as uncharacterized. The transcript is spliced from 2 exons. Lineage: Eukaryota; Metazoa; Arthropoda; Insecta; Coleoptera; Chrysomelidae. The record is from RefSeq and is a predicted model, not a curated record.